GGCGACGUAGGGAAGCGGCUUAACCCCCACCUCUGCAAAAGGGGGUUUCAGCAGUUCAAAUCUGCUCGUCGCCU
This 74-nucleotide transfer RNA is filed under the name Deinococcus hopiensis KR-140. The record is from Rfam by way of RNAcentral. Lineage: Bacteria; Thermotogati; Deinococcota; Deinococci; Deinococcales; Deinococcaceae.